CUACGGGACGCAGCAGUGAGGAAUAUUGGUCAAUGGGCGGAAGCCUGAACCAGCCAAGUCGCGUGAGGGAAUAAGGCCCUACGGGUCGUAAACCUCUUUUGCCGGGGAGCAAGGGCGGGGACGUGUCCCGGCCCGGAGAGUACCCGGAGAAAAAGCAUCGGCUAACUCCGUGCCAGCAGCCGCGGUAAUACGGAGGAUGCGAGCGUUAUCCGGAUUUAUUGGGUUUAAAGGGUGCGGAGGCGGGCUUUUAAGUCAGCGGUAAAAAUUCGGGGCUCAACCCCGCCCGGCCGUUGAAACGGGGGGCC
RNAcentral lists this ribosomal RNA (305 nucleotides) under uncultured bacterium. Its description in RNAcentral is "bacterial SSU rRNA". It matches the Rfam family "Bacterial small subunit ribosomal RNA", at positions 339 to 641 of the family's 1533-position model. The record is from RNAcentral.